This 101-nucleotide ribosomal RNA is filed under the name Rodentibacter pneumotropicus. Its description in RNAcentral is "partial 16S ribosomal RNA". It matches the Rfam family "Bacterial small subunit ribosomal RNA", at positions 1 to 95 of the family's 1533-position model. The record is from RNAcentral. Lineage: Bacteria; Pseudomonadati; Pseudomonadota; Gammaproteobacteria; Pasteurellales; Pasteurellaceae.
UUGAAUUGAAGAGUUUGAUCAUGGCUCAGAUUGAACGCUGGCGGCAGGCUUAACACAUGCAAGUCGAACGGUAACAGGAGAGAGCUUGCUUUCUUGCUGAC